GAUGAACGCUAGCUACAGGCUUAACACAUGCAAGUCGCGGGGCAGCAUGGGGGUUGCUUGCAACCCCUGAUGGCGACCGGCGCACGGGUGAGUAACGCGUAUCCAACCUGCCCUUCACCACGGGAUAACCCGGCGAAAGUCGGACUAGUACCGUAUGUUGUCCAUUGACGGCAUCCGAGUUGGAGGAAAGGCUUGGCGGCGAGAGGGUGGGGAUGCGUCCGCUUAGCUUGACGGCGGGGUAACGGCCCACCGUGGCUACGAUCGGUAGGGGUUCUGAGAGGAAGGGCCCCCACACUGGAACUGGGACACGGUCCAGACUCCUACGGGAGGCAGCAGUGAGGAAUAUUGGUCAAUGGGCGUAAGCCUGAACCAGCCAAGUAGCGUGCAGGAUGACGGCCCUAUGGGUUGUAAACUGCUUUUAUGCGGGGAUAAAGUGGCCCACGUGUGGGCUUUUGCAGGUACCGCAUGAAUAAGAACCGGCUAAUUCCGUG
This 491-nucleotide ribosomal RNA is filed under the name uncultured bacterium. RNAcentral describes it as "partial 16S ribosomal RNA". It matches the Rfam family "Bacterial small subunit ribosomal RNA", at positions 28 to 507 of the family's 1533-position model. The record is from RNAcentral.